Molecule: long non-coding RNA, 1634 nt
Organism: Oncorhynchus keta (chum salmon)
Lineage: Eukaryota; Metazoa; Chordata; Actinopteri; Salmoniformes; Salmonidae
Exons: 2
Source: RefSeq, a predicted model, not a curated record
ACAAACUGAAUCCUUGUAGUGGUGUUGGGACUGUGCUUUGGCAAAGUGGGUGGGGUUAUAUUCUGCCUGGUUGGCCCUAUCCGGGGUAUCAUCGGACUGGGCCACAGUGUCUCCUGACCCCUCCUGUCUCAGCCUCCAGUAUUUAUGCUGCAGUAGUUUGUGUCGGGGGGCUAGGGUCAGUUUGUUAUAUCUGGAGUACUUCUCCUAUCGUAUCCGGUGUCCUGUGUGAAUUUAAGUAUGCUCUCUAAUUCUCUCUCUCUUUCUCUCAGAGGACCAUGCCCCAGGACUACCUGGCCUGGUGGCUCCUUGCUGUCCCCAGUCCACCUGGCCGUGCUGCUGCUCCAGUUUCAACUGUUCUGCCUGCGGCUAUGGAAUCCUGACCUGUUCACCGGACGUGCUAAAUGUCCCAGACCUGCUGUUUUCAACUCUCUCUCUCUUCCGCACCUGCUGUCUUUAACUCUAAAUGCUCGGCUAUAAAAAGCCAGCUGACAUUUACUCAUGAGGUGCUGACCUGUUGCACCCUCUACAACCACUGUGAUUAUUAAUAUUAUUUGACCCUGCAGGUCAUCUUUGAACAUUUGAAAAUCUUGGCCAUGUUCUGUUAUAAUCUCCACCCGGCACAGCCAGAAGAGGACUGGCCAUCCCUCAGAGCCUGGUUCCUCUCUAGGUUUCUUCCUAGGUUCCUGCCUUUCUUGGGAGUUUUUCCUAGCCUCCGUGCUUCUACACCUGCAUUGCUUGCUGUUUGGGGUUUUAGGCUGUGUUUCUCUAUAGCACUUUGAGAUAUCAGCUGAUGUACGAAGGGCUAUAUAAAUACAUUUGAUUGAUGCAUCCUCACACAGAUCAAAUAAAAUCUAAUCAAAUCACAUGUUAUUUGUCACAUGAGCCGAAUACAACAGGUGUAGUAGACCUUACCGUGAAAUGAUGAAUACAACAGGUGUAGUAGACCUUACAGUGAAAUGCUGAAUACAACAGGUGUAGUAGACCUUACCGUGAAAUGAUGAAUACAACAGGUGUAGUAGACCUUACCGUGAAAUGAUGAAUACAACAGGUGUAGUAGACCUUACCGUGAAAUGAUGAAUACAACAGGUGUAGUAGACCUUACCGUGAAAUUCUUACUUACAAACCCUUAACCAACAAUGCAGUUUUAGGAAAAUAGAGUUAAGUAAAGAUUUACAAAAUAAAACACCGUAAAAAAAUCUAUUAAAAAGUAACACAAUAAAAUAACAUUAAUGAGGCUAUAUAAAUAAGGUUAUAUACAGGGGGUACCGGUGCCAAGUCAUUGUGCAUGAGUACAGGUUAGUAAAACAAGGUGAUUUGUACAUGUAGGUAGGGGUAAAGUGACUAUGCAUAGAUAAUAUGCAUAUUACCUGACGUGCUACCUGUCCCAGACCUGCUGUUUUCAACUCUCUAGAGACAGCAGGAGCGGUAGAGAUACUCUGAAGGAUCGGCUAUGAAGAGUCAACUGACAUUUACUCCUGAGGUGCCAAACAGCAUUGCUUGCGGUUUGGGGUUUUAUAGGCUGGGUUUCUGUACAGCACUUUGAGAUAUCAGCUGAUGUAAGAAGGGCUUUCAAUUCUUCAGUUUUUGAUUUGUUAAAAAAGUUUGAAAUAUCCAAUAAAUGUCGUUCCACUUCA